CAUCCUCCCUUUAUCUUGACCUUUGUAUCUUUAAGGCAUUAUUUUACAGUUUGUUUUUGUCUUGCCUUUUCUAGGAACUACAGAUUUCUUCCAUGGUGUAACUACAGUGUGAUGUGGGCAGGCAGACUGUUCUACGUCCCUGCCUGGAUAUGUGGUUUAAGCAUCAUCCUCUAAAGCCCGCCAGUGUAUCAAGGUGGGGGCUGAACUUAGGGUCUAAAGACAGAGUUAUGCCACACUUCUUCACCUCAACUAGAAAGGUUUAACAUCUACUUUUUCACAGCUGAAAAAAAACAUACAUACUAUCUUCUUCAGCUGAGUGGUUCCUGCAGGAGGACAGCACGGUGCUCACCAGAUGUUGUACCACAGAACAGAAGCAGUAAGACAGACCUGCCAGGGCAGAGUGCUACUGGACAUGAACAGGGUGACUUGUAGCCAAAGGGACUUGCAGCAAGAGCAAAAUUACCUGGUGGUAGCAGAGCAGCGUGGGAAACCAUCUCAAGACCAGCACUGCAUUGUGCUGCAUUGCACACGCACUGACCAAGACCAGAGGCAAGCUGGUGGCAGCGGCAGGAAGGCGAGCUAUGGAGGCUGUGCAAACUCAUCCUGCUGAGCUUUGGUGAUGGCUUUGAGGAUGCUCAAGUCCAUUGCUAUAGAACAGACACUCACUAGAACAGCCUGGUACACCUGACUUUGGACAGCUCUGAGUGAUACACUGGCAGUAAGUACUCACAUAAAUCUACCUUUCAGUAGCUCAGAAAAUCUUUUGUUUAGAUAAAUAUAGAAAAUGUAUAGCUGUAAGCACAGAAGCAAAAUAAAUAGGUCUGGAAGAGCUGUCCAAUAUGUUACAAAUGCUUUCUUUUUCUUUUUCUCUUUUCUUUUUUUGUAUUUCUUUUGCCUUUUUAAAAAACUAUUGUUUUGAUUAUAUGCUGAAUUUUACCACAAAUACUCCUUAAAUUAUAAGAUAAAACCCAAUGAUUUUAACAUUGGUAUGUUACAACCAUAGGCAA
Long non-coding RNA from Phasianus colchicus (ring-necked pheasant), 1007 nucleotides. RefSeq lists it as uncharacterized. The record is from RefSeq and is a predicted model, not a curated record. NCBI's taxonomy places the organism in Eukaryota, Metazoa, Chordata, Aves, Galliformes, Phasianidae.